This 301-nucleotide ribosomal RNA is filed under the name uncultured bacterium. Its description in RNAcentral is "partial 16S ribosomal RNA". It matches the Rfam family "Bacterial small subunit ribosomal RNA", at positions 509 to 807 of the family's 1533-position model. The record is from RNAcentral.
CAGUCGCCGCGGUAAUACGAAGGGGGCUAGCGUUGUUCGGAAUAACUGGGCGUAAAGGGCGCGUAGGCGGAUCUUUAAGUCGGGGGUGAAAUCCCAAGGCUCAACCUUGGAACUGCCUUUGAUACUGGAGAUCUUGAGUCCGGGAGAGGUGAGUGGAACUGCGAGUGUAGAGGUGAAAUUCGUAGAUAUUCGGAAGAACACCAGUGGCGAAGGCGGCUCACUGGACCGGUAUUGACGCUGAGGUGCGAAAGCGUGGGGAGCAAACAGGAUUAGAUACCCCAGUAGUCCCUGUCUCUUAUAC